RNAcentral lists this ribosomal RNA (254 nucleotides) under uncultured bacterium. RNAcentral describes it as "partial 16S ribosomal RNA". It matches the Rfam family "Bacterial small subunit ribosomal RNA", at positions 524 to 776 of the family's 1533-position model. The record is from RNAcentral.
UACGUAGGGUCCAAGCGUUAUCCGGAAUCACUGGGCGUAAAGCGUACGUAGGCGGUUCGUUAAGUGAGAUGCGAAAUCUUGUGGCUCAACCAUAUAGAUGUUGUCUCAUACUGGCGAACUUGAGGAUGGCAGAGGCAAGUGGAAUUACUAGUGUAGCAGUGAAAUGCGUAGAUAUUAGUAGGAACACCAAUGGCGAAGGCAGCUUGCUGGGCCAUUUCUGACGCUGAGGUACGAAAGCGUGGGGAGCGAACAGG